Molecule: RNase P RNA, 358 nt
Filed under: uncultured Acetatifactor sp.
Lineage: Bacteria; Bacillati; Bacillota; Clostridia; Lachnospirales; Lachnospiraceae
Description: Bacterial RNase P class A
Rfam family: Bacterial RNase P class A
About the family: Ribonuclease P (RNase P) is a ubiquitous endoribonuclease, found in archaea, bacteria and eukarya as well as chloroplasts and mitochondria.
Source: RNAcentral
UAAGACAGACGAUCGCCGCCGGUCUGUACCGGGGGAGGAAAGUCCGGGCUUCACAGGGCAGGAUGCCGGAUAACGUCCGGUGGAGGUGACUCCAAGGCCAGUGCAACAGAAAUAUACCGCCGUGAAUCAUUAAGUUCACGGUAAGGGUGGAAAGGCAGCUUAAGAGACUACCGUCCGGCCGGUAACGGUCGGAGCCAUGUAAACCCCAUCCGAAGCAAGACCAAAAAGAAAGCCAUAGGCUUGCCCGGCCUGCUUUCAGGUAGGUCGCUUGAGACGACUGGCAACAGUCGUACUAGAUAGAUGAUCGUCCCGGAAUCCGAAGGAUUCUAUUGACAUAACCCGGCUUAUCGUUUUGCUU